AUUUCACCUGAGUGACCGGAAGGGAGGGAGCCUGGCUCCACCCCUCCUAGACCCCUAGACUCCAGCUAGAGAUCCUUCGUCUUAGAGCCCUUCGGUGAGCCCAGGACACAGUGCUUGAAUAAUGUUGUCCUGGGAUAGUCAAUGAUUGAUACAUCACCUUUCCCUGAAAUUAUACUUUUUCAUACUCUUCUCCAGCAUAUAAAGUGUGUCACAAGAAGUCAUCACAGCAUGAAGAACAGACCUGAAUGAAAAACUUUUAUGAAAAAGAAGUCAGAUAUAGCUCUUUUAACAUUUCAUAAAAAUUGUGGACCCAAUCUCUACAAAAGAUUGAGCUGUAUAAAACUUUGUUGCUUUUUUUGUUUGGUUUGUUUUUAAACAGAGAGAAAACUAAUGGUACUGUAGGUAAAAUAGCCAAGACCACUUACAAAGAAAAACUUUAAACCUGUAAUACUCUUUGCAAAGCUAUUUUGUUGUGGAGCUCACAAGCAUGCAUACUAACUGAAAACAGUAUAAAUUAUGAAGAGUGUCAUUCUGAGUGUCUCUAACUACCAAGUAAGGCAAAGAGAUUUACAGUUUUCAGAAAGAAGCAGUAUUCUUCCUUGUAGAAGUAAGGAACAAAGGAGUUAUUUAUAACUAUCUGUAAUGAAGAAGUGCCAACAGCAGUUUGCGUUUUGCAUUGUACUUUUGAUGUUGACAGUGAUGGUAUGUUUAUUGUUCUGUUGUCACAUAGCAUGACAAGAAAUUUUUGCUCACAUAAUUAUAACACUGUUUUUUUCAGACUGUGUCAUAGUUUAAAUAUAAACUAUAAUAGUGGUAAGCUUUCUCCUAGCGGAAAGUUAUGUUUAAACAUAACUGAUCUUAUCUCAUGAUUGUCUGGAGAAAAAAAAUGAAUCGAAUAAUCAAAACACUGCUUUUCACAGGAGGUAGAAUAUUGUGCUCAUCAGCUAGAAACAAGGCAGACCUCAAUGAUACAUUAUCAAUCCUCUUCCAUGGACUGAAUGCAGUCUUCAG
This 1011-nucleotide long non-coding RNA is filed under the name Gallus gallus (chicken). The record is from RNAcentral. Lineage: Eukaryota; Metazoa; Chordata; Aves; Galliformes; Phasianidae.